AGCAGCCGCGGUAAUUCCAGCUCCAAUAGCGUAUAUUAAAGUUGUUGCAGUUAAAAAGCUCGUAGUUGAAUUUCGGGAUUGACACAUCGGUCGUGCCUUAAGGGGUAUGAACUGGUGUAGUCAAUUUCUCACCUUCUGGAGAACCGCAAUGCCCUUAAUUGGGUGUCGCGGGGAACCAGGACCUUUACUUUGAAAAAUUAGAGUGUUUAAAGCAGGCAUUUUGCUUGAACACAUUAGCAUGGAAUAAUAAAAUAGGACGGCAUGAUUCUAUUUUGUUGGUUUCUAGGAUCACCGUAAUGAUUAAUAGGGAUAGUUGGGGGCAUUAGUAUUCAAUUGUCAGAGGUGAAAUUCUUGGAUUUAUUGAAGACUAACUACUGCGAAAGCAUUUGCCAAGGAUGUUUUCAUUAAUCAAGAACGAAAGUUAGGGGAUCGAAGACGAUCAGAUACCGU
RNAcentral lists this ribosomal RNA (450 nucleotides) under uncultured Entrophospora. RNAcentral describes it as "SSU rRNA". It matches the Rfam family "Eukaryotic small subunit ribosomal RNA", at positions 569 to 1018 of the family's 1831-position model. The record is from RNAcentral. Lineage: Eukaryota; Fungi; Glomeromycota; Glomeromycetes; Entrophosporales; Entrophosporaceae.